AGAGUUUGAUCCUGGCUCAGGAUGAACGCUAGCUACAGGCUUAACACAUGCAAGUCGAGGGGAAACGAUAUUGGAAGCUUGCUUCCGAUAGGCGUCGACCGGCGCACGGGUGAGUAACGCGUAUCCAACCUGCCCACCACUUGGGGAUAACCUUGCGAAAGUAAGACUAAUACCCAAUGACGUCUCUAGAAGACAUCUGAAGGAGAUUAAAGAUUUAUCGGUGAUGGAUGGGGAUGCGUCUGAUUAGCUUGUUGGCGGGGUAACGGCCCACCAAGGCAACGAUCAGUAGGGGUUCUGAGAGGAAGGUCCCCCACAUUGGAACUGAGACACGGUCCAAACUCCUACGGGAGGCAGCAGUGAGGAAUAUUGGUCAAUGGGCGAGAGCCUGAACCAGCCAAGUAGCGUGCAGGAAGACGGCCCUAUGGGUUGUAAACUGCUUUUAUAAGGGAAUAAAGUUAGUCUCGUGAGACUUUUUGCAUGUACCUUAUGAAUAAGGACCGGCUAAUUCCGUGCCAGCAGCCGCGGUAAUACGGAAGGUCCGGGCGUUAUCCGGAUUUAUUGGGUUUAAAGGGAGCGUAGGCCGGAGAUUAAGCGUGUUGUGAAAUGUAGACGCUCAACGUCUGCACUGCAGCGCGAACUGGUUUCCUUGAGUACGCACAAAGUGGGCGGAAUUCGUGGUGUAGCGGUGAAAUGCUUAGAUAUCACGAAGAACUCCGAUUGCGAAGGCAGCUCACUGGAGCGCAACUGACGCUGAAGCUCGAAAGUGCGGGUAUCGAACAGGAUUAGAUACCCUGGUAGUCCGCACGGUAAACGAUGGAUGCCCGCUGUUGGUCUGAACAGGUCAGCGGCCAAGCGAAAGCAUUAAGCAUCCCACCUGGGGAGUACGCCGGCAACGGUGAAACUCAAAGGAAUUGACGGGGGCCCGCACAAGCGGAGGAACAUGUGGUUUAAUUCGAUGAUACGCGAAGAACCUUACCAAGUCUUGACAUCCUUCUGACCGGUACUUAAUCGUACUUUCUCUUCGGAGCAGGAGUGACAGGUGGUGCAUGGUUGUCGUCAGCUCGUGUCGUGAGAUGUUGGGUUAAGUCCCGCAACGAGCGCAGCCCUUAUCUUUAGUAGCCAGCGGUUCGGCCGGGCACUCUAGAGAGACUGCCAGGGAUAACCUGGAGGAAGGCGGGGAUGACGUCAAAUCAUCAUGCCCCUUAUGACUUGGGCUACACACGUGCUACAAUGGCGUAAACAAAGGGAAGCAAAGCUGUGAAGCCGAGCAAAUCUCAAAAAUAACGUCUCAGUUAGGACUGUAGUCUGCAACCCGACUACACGAAGCUGGAAUCGCUAGUAAUCGCAGAUCAGAAUGCUGCGGUGAAUACGUUCCCGGGUCUUGUACACACCGCCCGUCACACCGUGGGAGUUGGGAAUGCCCGAAGCCAGUGACCUAACCGAAAGGAAGGAGCUGUCGAAGGCAGGCUCGAUAACUGGGGUGAAGUCGUAACAAGGUA
RNAcentral lists this ribosomal RNA (1499 nucleotides) under metagenome. Its description in RNAcentral is "bacterial SSU rRNA". It matches the Rfam family "Bacterial small subunit ribosomal RNA". The record is from RNAcentral.